CACAGAAUCGUGACAUUCGGAUUACGUCAUUCCAGUUUGAAAAUGGGACAAACGAACUAAACCACGUUGCCUGUGUGGACUGUCCAUGCAUAUGUCCAUGUCUCUGUUUGCAGCUGCCAAGAGCCUAGCUACUUUGUACGUGAGCGCGCGCUGAACAACGGUGAAACGUCAUGUCCUUGAUGAUAUCAACAACUAUGGAAAGUGAAUGACGACACGGCAGAUAAACGACACAACACCAUGUUCAAAAUUGAUGAAUAAAGUAAAAUAUAUAUAUAUAUCACUUGAAGAAAAAUGAUGAAACUCCUUGGGUACCAGAGACUUGUUCGAUUUACCCCCGAACAGUGGACAAUGAUGAUAAGUCCAAAGUCACGACCGAGACCUCUUAUCUCGGAUAUCACCAUGACGUCUUUUCUAUAUCCAUCGUGAUGUUUGCAGCCGUCUUGAAAACGAGUCAUUCAUGUUUGUUUCACUAAAUUUCAUCAGACGAGUGGAGUGGACUUCUUUUAGUUAGCCUACCCGUUGACCCUGGGAUUUUGGACACCAAAUGACUGACUGCUUUUACACAAAAUAAACAACUGGAUUGGUGCUGCAGAACAUCUGAAAUUGCACUUCAGUAUUUGGGGUUUCGCACAGGACAUUUCACAUUACCCCCCAAACCUCGCUAAUGUUAAAUGUAACCUCUUCAGGGAUACAGAUUAAUAGUUAAGACCUGAAGUGCCCUUUGAGACCGCAGGGACAUAUCCAUACAGACGGUACAAGUCUUCCAUUACCUUUAGCAGUCUGGCUUCACGAUCUUUUUAUUAUUGUUAUUAUUGUUAUUAUUAUUAUUGUUGUUGUUGUUGUUGUUUUUGCCUAUUAGUUUUACUCUAAGAUUUUCCAUUUCUUAAUUGAAACGAAAACGAAAUUAUCUUUAUUCCUAUCCAAAACUUCAGAAAAGACCGUGUGCUGCCAGUGAUUCAUGAUGUUGCCAUUCUGGUAAAUUAAAUUUUACAGAGAUUUUUAAGAUGA
Anguilla rostrata (American eel) is the source of this 1008-nucleotide long non-coding RNA. RefSeq lists it as uncharacterized. The transcript has 4 exons. Lineage: Eukaryota; Metazoa; Chordata; Actinopteri; Anguilliformes; Anguillidae. The record is from RefSeq and is a predicted model, not a curated record.